CUAUCUAUCGUAACACCUUUUACAUGGCAGGUUUGGGUGUGCGUUCUUUUGUCAUUGAUUGUGGCGACCAUAUUUUUAACCUUCACCACCAACGUAACCAUGCCAGGGAAGACAAGAAAUUCGUGAAUUUCUACGAUAUGGUAUCUGUGGGGAUGUUUACUCUCUCAAGGAAGUAGAAUUCCAUUUAGCGGAGCUCUAAGUGUGAAACUUUUCCUGGUUUCCUGGUGGGCAUUUGCAGUAAUAUUUUACUCAUCUUAUGGUGGUACACUGAAAUCACACAUGACCAUC
This is a long non-coding RNA of Limulus polyphemus (Atlantic horseshoe crab), 288 nucleotides long. RefSeq lists it as uncharacterized. The record is from RefSeq and is a predicted model, not a curated record. The transcript has 3 exons. NCBI's taxonomy places the organism in Eukaryota, Metazoa, Arthropoda, Merostomata, Xiphosura, Limulidae.